Small nuclear RNA from Vulpes vulpes (red fox), 110 nucleotides. Lineage: Eukaryota; Metazoa; Chordata; Mammalia; Carnivora; Canidae. The record is from Ensembl.
GUGCUCACCUUGGCAGCACAUAUGCUAAAAUUGGAAUGAUACAGAGAUUAGCGUGGCCUCUGCACAAGGAUGACAUGCAAAUUCGCGAAGGUGUCUUUUACAAAAUAUAU